AAUGGGUUUAGACCUGGCGCCUGCCGCAGUGCGGAGCACGCCAGACUCACUGAGAGAGCGUCUCCAGGAGGAAGCUGAGGCAUGACGGCGCGAGUGCCGGCAAUUCCUGUAAAAUUUUCUUCCCACAGCUUAUGGGCACUGUUGCCAUGGCAAUAGCGACUGGGCGGUGUCGCUGUCUAUCAGGAACAGUCAGAGAAGCCGGCGGUCUCGAUAUUGUGCACAGAAGGUGUGGUUUCUGCUGGGCACUGAGCACUGCCACAAUU
Molecule: non-coding RNA, 263 nt
Organism: Sorex araneus (European shrew)
Lineage: Eukaryota; Metazoa; Chordata; Mammalia; Eulipotyphla; Soricidae
Source: RefSeq, a predicted model, not a curated record